CGUUGUCAUUCUCUAAAUAAAUUUCCAUAUGGUUCAGACUUGAUGUGGCUGAUGCAACUUCCCACAGCAUUUCAGGGCCAUGGCAGAAACCUAGCAACAUACCAAGACAUUGCAUCAGAUCUUUUGUAGGACGAAAGUCCUAAAUAGGAGUGGUGCUUUCUAUCUCUCCAUGGUGAUGUGACCUGACACAGGACUGAUGGAAGUCACUCUUGACAUGCGAGGGAGUUAAUCAGCACUACAUGGAUGUUUCCAUGAGCCAGAGCAUGAGAUGAUUGUAAUCUAGUCCCACAGCUCAAAGAUCCAGGGCAAGACAAAGGUCUCUCAUCUCACUUCCAGCCCUCUGCAACAUGGAAAAAACUUGUUAAAGAAGGAACAAUCCCAGAGCCCUCCAUGUUUACAAGAAGACAGAAAUCGAGCUACGCUGGAAAUUUGUCCCCUUUCAUCAACAACCACAGUGAGCUGUGGUGACAUUUACAAGCUGCUGCUCUGAGCUGCCGAGUGUUUAUAUGGAGGACAAUAGACACCAAGUUCCCACCAAUUCCUGUUGUUCCACACUGCUUCCAGUUGCAGGAAUUCGAAGGGGGGAGAAAGAGUGAGGGGAAGUUCAGAAAGGGGGGGCAAAGAGGGGAGGAAGA
Long non-coding RNA from Seriola aureovittata, 635 nucleotides. RefSeq lists it as uncharacterized. The transcript is spliced from 3 exons. The record is from RefSeq and is a predicted model, not a curated record. Lineage: Eukaryota; Metazoa; Chordata; Actinopteri; Carangiformes; Carangidae.